RNAcentral lists this unclassified non-coding RNA (3124 nucleotides) under Hevea brasiliensis (rubber tree). The record is from RNAcentral. Lineage: Eukaryota; Viridiplantae; Streptophyta; Magnoliopsida; Malpighiales; Euphorbiaceae.
UUCAAACCUGGAAUUUUCUUGACGGUUAGCUGCUUGGAGAGUUUGGUUCUGGCAGCAAACUUAUAUGAUAAUUUUUUUUAAUCUAUUCUUAAAUAAGAAGGGCAGCACGCACACCCUUGUAGGGCCAUGCAGAGCUAUGCUAAUCUCUCUCUUGAAGGGAAUUCAAGAACUCCCGCAAAAGCAAGAUCAUUCAUAUACGCUACUCUUGAAAAAAAUAAGCACCGACAUCUCGACAAUCAAAAUCCCACAUCAAUACAUUCAAUCCUCGUCUACUAUCGUUUCAAUCCUUGCCCAAGGCGGCCCCGUUAAGGAGCUCGCACUGUACAAUGCGUCUAAGUUGCUCAGCUCUGCCACCAAACCUAAUGCCUAUUCUCUGCUUCACCUGGUUCGAGCUUCUACGGACCUGGGCUUCGAUUCUUACUGCCGACAGCUUCACACCUACAUUCUGAAAUCUGGGUUUUUCACCAAUGUUUUUGUCUCCACUGCUUUGCUAAGGUUUUAUAGCAUAACGGAGUCCAUAAUUGACGCCGACAAAGCGUUUGAUGAAAUUCCUCAACCAAAUGCAGUUUCUUGGAAUACCUUGAUUUCCGCUUGCGUGCAUUCUGGGCAAUUUGGGAAAGCAAUGUAUUUGUUUCUUCAACUUGAGAGGUCUGGUACAUGUCCAGAUGCCUACUCAUUCACACUGGCUUUAUCUGCUUCUGCCCACCUAAAUAUGUUGCAGCUCGGCAGGUCAAUUCACUGCGAAAUAGUGAAAUAUGGCCUGGAGUGCGCCACUGUUGUUGGGAAUUGCUUGAUUGAUAUGUAUGGCAAAUGUGCUUCUGUUGAGGAAGCAAUUUGGGUUUUUGAUGAAAUGAUUGAUAAAGACAUAAUUUCUUGGAAUUCAGUUAUAGCUGCAAGUGCUAGGAACCAAAGACUUGAAUUGGCAUACAGAUUUUUCUAUCAGAUGCCUGAGCCGGACACCAUUUCAUAUAAUGAAAUGAUUAACGGAAUUGCCCAGUUUGGCAACAUAGAGGAUGCUAUCGGAAUUUUAUUGAAUAUGCCAAAACCGAAUUCAUCUUCUUGGAAUUCGAUCAUAACAUCAUUGGUUAACAAAAAUUGUGUACGAGAAGCCUUGGGGUUUUUCACUAAAAUGCAUUCAAGUGAAAUUAAAAUGGAUGAAUAUACUUAUUCAGUUCUUUUGAGAGGUGUCGCUGGUCUUGCCGCUUUGAAAUGGGGAAUGGUGAUCCAUUGUCGUGCAACAAAGGGAGGUUUGGAUACAUACGUAGUCGUCGGAAGCGCUCUCAUUGACAUGUACUCCAAGUGUGGGCAAGUAAAGAAUGCCGAGUCAAUGUUUCAGUUAUUACCUAAGAGGAAUAUAAUAACAUGGAACGCAAUGAUCUCAGGCUAUGCUUACAAUGGUGAUUCAGGUAAGGUGAUCCAACAACUUCGGGAAUUGAAAAUGGUUGCAGAUUUGAAACCUGAUGGGGUCACCUUUCUUAAUGUAAUAGCUGCAUGCUCCAAUACCGAGGUGCCAUUGCAGCAGGCAAUUGGAUACUUUGAAUCAAUGAUCAACGAUUACGGGAUUGAACCAACCAUUGAGCACUGCUGUUCAAUGAUUCGGCUGAUGGGACAAAGAGGGGAGGUGUGGAAGGCAAAGAGUAUGAUAUAUGAACUAGCAUUUGGAUCAUGUGGGGCAGUUUGGAGGGCUUUGCUUGGUGCUUGUGGAGCUUGUAGGGAUUUGAAGGUCGCAAACAUUGCAGCAGCAAAAGUUAUUGAAUUGGAGGGUGAUGAUGAUUAUGUGUAUGUUAUGAUGUCUAACAUAUUUGCAUCCUAUGGCAAAUGGAGAGAUGUGAGCAAAGUGAGAAAGAUCAUGAGGGAUAGAGGGGUGAGAAAAGCAGUUGGCUGCAGUUGGAUUGAGGUGGAAAGGGCCGCUCCAUAGUCAUUCAUAUAUCUAUUUGGAAUUGGCGAAAGAAAGGCCUUUUUGAUGAAGAAUUUAUUGGUUGUCAUAAUAUGGUGGACAUUGUGAUGAGCAAAGAAAUUUCAUCCUGCUCAAUCUUCCCUUCCUGUCUCCACCAAUAAAGCAAAGUGGGAGCAAAGACUAUAAUUUGCUGGACCACUACCCCAAGUGGUUAUUUUAAACCGAACACGGAUGCUCAUUCAAAGUUCUACAGGUUCUGUUUAUGCUGGAGGUUUGAUCCGGGAUCAUCAAGGUGCUUGGCAUGGAGAUUUUUGCAUGAAUACUGCCUAAUAACCAAUGCUGAAUUUUGGGGUUUGUUUCAGGGUUUGUCUAUGGCCUGGAAUAAGAGGUUGCAUAAGAUAAUUGUUGAGGUGCACAAUCAAAGUGUUUGUCGGAUGGUGCUCAAUGAAGUUGAUGUUCCUGGGGGCUGUCACGAUCUGGUUUGCAGGAUAAGGGAGUUGAUUCAGCGUGAAUGGGAAGUGAAAGUUUACCAUAUUCACAGAAAGGACUACCUGAGUGCAGAUUGGCUGGCAGGGAUUGGUGAAAGGAGACCUAGAAGCUACUAUGGUCCAACCGCACCAGUGUAAAACUGUAUUUAAGUUGGAAGUCCUGUCUCGCAUAUACCCACUUAGCAGUUCCAAUAUGCACAUUCUGCUCUGUUGGAAAAUACGAUAAGUGCUUUUUUGCCUUGAGUUUACAUUAGUAGAAACUGCUUUUGGUACAAAGAUGGAAGACCAGGAUUAAGAAGAAAAAACUUACUGGUCUGAUGCCAUUUGGUUGUGAUGGUACAUGCAUAUUUCAGUGAACAAUGAAGUGAAAUUUUGGAGACUAAAUUCAUGGAACCUGAUAAACACCGCUGGACUUUCAGUUAUUAGACUCUGUUUCUAAAUGGAAGUAGGUCCCUCAGGUAUCGGAAAAUAGCAUGUAUUACUUCAGGGCAAAUUACAACAUCAAGUAUCAAAUUCCUUUUUGAAAGUAGGUCCUUCAGAAAUCUGAAAUUAGCUGGUAUCGCCUCAGAGCAUAUUACAAAAUAAAGAGGACGAAAUGUUGGGAACAACUGAGCAUAUAUUGGUCGCGCGAUAUUAUAUAUGAAUUGCAUUUAAUUGUUACAUCUCAGUAGAUGGGUCCUCCUAUGUUAUGAAGAAUCAAAUCAGCUUCAUUGGUUUAAAGGUUCAGCAGCAUUUAUAA